RNAcentral lists this ribosomal RNA (468 nucleotides) under uncultured bacterium. Its description in RNAcentral is "partial 16S ribosomal RNA". It matches the Rfam family "Bacterial small subunit ribosomal RNA", at positions 28 to 507 of the family's 1533-position model. The record is from RNAcentral.
GACGAACGCUGGCGGCGUGCUUAACACAUGCAAGUCGAACGGAAAGGCCCAGCUUUUGUGGGGUUCUCGAGUGGCACACGUGUGUGUAACACGUGUGUACUCUGCCCUUGAUUUUGGUAUAACUUCAGGAAUCUGGGGCUAACACCGGAUAGCAGUCCCUGCGGCAUGGUGGGGGUUAGAUAGUUUGGGUGGUUGGGGAUGGACUCGCGGCUUACCAGCUUGUUGGUGGGGUAGUGGCUUACCAAGGCGUUGACGGGUAGCCGGCCUGAGAGGGUGGCCGGCCACAUUGGGACUGAGAUACGGCCCAGACUCCUACGGGAGGCAGCAGUGGGGAAUAUUGCACAAUGGGCGGAAGCCUGAUGCAGCGACGCCGCGUGCGGGAUGACGGCCUUCGGGUUGUAAACCGCUUUCGACUGGGACGAAGCGUUGGUGACGGUACCUGUAGAAGAAGCACCGGCUAACUACGUG